Molecule: ribosomal RNA, 292 nt
Filed under: uncultured bacterium
Lineage: Bacteria
Description: partial 16S ribosomal RNA
Rfam family: Bacterial small subunit ribosomal RNA
Source: RNAcentral
GUGUCAGCAGCCGCGGUAAGACGAACCGUGCGAACGUUGUUCGGAUUCACUGGGUUUAAAGGGCGCGUAGGCGGGCAUUCAAGUCUGUGGUGAAAUCCUCCAGCUCAACUGGAGAACUUCCAUGGAUACUGGGUGUCUCGAGGGUGGUAGGGGUAUGCGGAACUAUCGGUGGAGCGGUGAAAUGCGUUGAUAUCAUCAGGAACACCGGUGGCGAAAGCGGCUUACUGGGUCUCUUCUGACGCUGAGAAACGAAAGCUAGGGUAGCGAAGGGGAUUAGAUACCCCCGUAGUCC